AGAGUUUGAUCCUGGCUCAGAACGAACGCUGGCGGCAUGCCUAACACAUGCAAGUCGAACGAGACCUUCGGGUCUAGUGGCGCACGGGUGCGUAACGCGUGGGAAUCUGCCCUUGGGUUCGGAAUAACUCAGAGAAAUUUGAGCUAAUACCGGAUGAUGACGUAAGUCCAAAGAUUUAUCGCCCAAGGAUGAGCCCGCGUAAGAUUAGCUUGUUGGUAGGGUAACGGCCUACCAAGGCGACGAUCUUUAGCUGGUCUGAGAGGAUGAUCAGCCACACUGGGACUGAGACACGGCCCAGACUCCUACGGGAGGCAGCAGUGGGGAAUAUUGGACAAUGGGCGAAAGCCUGAUCCAGCAAUGCCGCGUGAGUGAUGAAGGCCUUAGGGUUGUAAAGCUCUUUUACCAGGGAUGAUAAUGACAGUACCUGGAGAAUAAGCUCCGGCUAACUCCGUGCCAGCAGCCGCGGUAAUACGGAGGGAGCUAGCGUUGUUCGGAAUCACUGGGCGUAGAGCGUGCGUAGGCGGUGACUCAAGUCAGAGGUGAAAGCCUGGAG
RNAcentral lists this ribosomal RNA (553 nucleotides) under uncultured freshwater bacterium. RNAcentral describes it as "bacterial SSU rRNA". It matches the Rfam family "Bacterial small subunit ribosomal RNA", at positions 8 to 607 of the family's 1533-position model. The record is from RNAcentral.